This 440-nucleotide ribosomal RNA is filed under the name uncultured bacterium. RNAcentral's name for it is "partial 16S ribosomal RNA". It matches the Rfam family "Bacterial small subunit ribosomal RNA", at positions 338 to 795 of the family's 1533-position model. The record is from RNAcentral.
CCUACGGGAGGCAGCAGUGAGGGAUAUUGGUCAAUGUGGGAAACCCUGAACCAGCAACGCCGCGUGAGGGAAGACGGUUUUCGGAUUGUAAACCUCUGUCCUCUGUGAAGAUAAUGACGGUACUUGAUGAAUAAGCCACGGCUAACUACGUGCCAGCAGCCGCGGUAAUACGUAGGUUGCAAGCGUUAUCCGGAUUUACUGGGUGUAAAGGGCGUGUAGGCGGGACUCAAAGUAAGAUGUGAAAACCAUGGGCUCAACCCAUGGCCUGCAUUUGAAACUGUAGUUCUUGAGUGUUGGAGAGGCAGGCGGAAUGCCGUGUGUAGCGGUGAAAUGCGUAGAUAUACGGAGGAACACCAGUGGCGAAGGCGGCCUGCUGGACAAUAACUGACGCUGAGGCGCGAAAGCGUGGGGAGCAAACAGGAUUAGAUACCCGUGUAGUC